GCCGCGGUAGCUCAGCCUGGCCAGAGCGUUGCCCUGGUAAGGCAAAGGUCCCGGGUUCAAAUCCCGGCCGCGGCU
Molecule: transfer RNA, 75 nt
Filed under: Saccharolobus sp. A20
Lineage: Archaea; Thermoproteati; Thermoproteota; Thermoprotei; Sulfolobales; Sulfolobaceae
Also listed under: 8 other names
Description: Sulfolobus sp. A20 tRNA-Thr
Rfam family: tRNA
About the family: Transfer RNA (tRNA) molecules are approximately 80 nucleotides in length. Their secondary structure includes four short double-helical elements and three loops (D, anti-codon, and T loops).
Source: RNAcentral